UACGUAGGGGGCAAGCGUUGUCCGGAAUCAUUGGGCGUAAAGAGCGUGUAGGCGGCUUGGCAAGUCUGACGUGAAAUCCCGCGGCUCAACCGCGGUCGGUCGUUGGAAACUGCCUGGCUAGAGUCCGGAAGAGGAGAGUGGAAUUCCUGGUGUAGCGGUGGAAUGCGCAGAUAUCAGGAGGAACACCCGUGGCGAAGGCGGCUCUCUGGGACGGUACUGACGCUGAGACGCGAAAGCGUGGGGAGCGAACAGG
This 253-nucleotide ribosomal RNA is filed under the name uncultured bacterium. Its description in RNAcentral is "partial 16S ribosomal RNA". It matches the Rfam family "Bacterial small subunit ribosomal RNA", at positions 524 to 776 of the family's 1533-position model. The record is from RNAcentral.